Molecule: small nuclear RNA, 163 nt
Filed under: Athalia rosae (coleseed sawfly)
Lineage: Eukaryota; Metazoa; Arthropoda; Insecta; Hymenoptera; Athaliidae
Description: misc RNA ENSAEAG00005012688.1
Rfam family: U1 spliceosomal RNA
About the family: U1 is a small nuclear RNA (snRNA) component of the spliceosome (involved in pre-mRNA splicing). Its 5' end forms complementary base pairs with the 5' splice junction, thus defining the 5' donor site of an intron.
Source: RNAcentral
AAACUUACCUGGCGCAAAGGUCUACCGUGAUCAGGAAGGCUGUUCCUUCAGGGCGAGGCUCAUCCAUUGCACUUUGGUUGGGCUGACCCUUGCGAUUGCUCCAAUUUGGGCACUCGUGCGUACAAUUUUUGAGUGUUGGGACUUGCGUUCGCGCAGUCCCAGA